This 33837-nucleotide long non-coding RNA is filed under the name Triticum aestivum (bread wheat). RNAcentral describes it as "long non-coding RNA (TAES_LNC016038)". Lineage: Eukaryota; Viridiplantae; Streptophyta; Magnoliopsida; Poales; Poaceae. The record is from RNAcentral.
CACCCUCCCCUUGUCCAAUUCCGACUCCUCCCUGGUGGGGGUGCGCCACCCCUUUGUGGGCUGGUAUGCCUCCCUCCUAUUGCCCAUAUCUUUCCCCGGGGGCUUCUGGUAACCCCUCCGGUACUCCGAUAUGUACCCGAUACAUUUCGGAACCCUUUCGGUGUCUGAAUACUACCUUUCAAUAUAUCAAUCUUUACCUCUUGAUCAUUUCGAGACUCCUUGUCAUGUCUGUGAUCUCAUAUGAGGCUCCGAACAACCUUCGGUCACCAAAACACAUAACUCAUAUAAUACAUAUCAUCAUUGAACGUUAAGCGUGCGGACCCUACGGGUUUGAGAACUAUGUAGACAUGACCGAGACACCUCUCCAGUCAAUAACCAAUAGCGGAACCUGGAUGCUCAUAUUGGUUCCCACAUAUUCUACGAAGAUCUGUAUCGGUCGAACCGCCAUGUCAACAUAUGUUAUUCCCUUUUUCAUCGGUAUGUUACUUGCCCAAGAUUCGAACGUCGGUAUCUUCAUACCUAGUUCAAUGUCAUUACCGUCAAGUCUCUUUACUCGUUCCGUAAUGCAUCAUCCCGCAACUAACUCAUUAGUCACAUUGCUUGCAAGGCUUCAUAUGAUGUGCAUUACCGAGAGGGCCCGGAGAAACCUCUCCAAUACUCGGAGUGACAAAUCCUAAUCUCGAUCUAUGCCAACCCAACAAACACCUUUGGAGAUACCUAUAGAGCAUCUUUAUAAUCACCUAGUUAUGUUGUUAUGUUUGAUAGCACAAAAGGCAUUCCUCCGGUGUCCGGGGGUUGCAUAAUCUCAGGAAUAUGUAUUUGACAUGAAAAAAUUAGUAGCAAUAAAAUUGAAUGAUCAUUAUGCUAAGCUAACGGAUGGGUCUUGUCCAUCACAUCAUUCUACUAAUGAUGCGAUCCCAUUCAUCAAAUGACAACACAUGUAGAUGUCUAGGAAACUUAACCAUCUUUGAUCAACGAGCUAGUCUAGUAGAGGCAUACUAGGGAUACGGUGUUUUGUCUAUGUAUUCACACAUGUAUCAAGUUUCCGGUUAAUAAAAUUGUAGCAUGAAUAUCAAACAUUUAUCAUGAAUAAGGAAAUAUAAAAUAACAAUUUUAUUAUUUCCUCUAGCGAAUAUUUCCUUCAAUCUGUUAUUGCUGAUCAGUUGGAGGAUGCGAAACAUUCGGUGUUUCACGAGUGGGAGAAGCUUGGGGUUCAGAGUGAUGGAUUUUGCCUUUUUCAUAAACAACUCGCUGAGGUGGAAUAUCAGCUCUAAUAGGGGAGGCCAAGGCACUGGUUCAGUUGGCCUUGGGGAGGAGGUGCAUCAGUGACUUGAACAGUGGGUUGCGAAGGAAUUGUUGGCUCAGGAGAUUUUCCUUUUUGAGGCUGAGCUUUAGCAUGAUCAGUUGACAUUUCUGUCAUAGCAGGAGGAGCAUUUUCUUCGUAGUUUCUUUUGCCUCUUUUGUAUCUACUGAGCAGUUUGAUCAAUGUGUCCCUUGACAAGAUCAUUAUAGCCAGUGGCUUAUGCUCGAUGCUCAAGGCAGAUCUUUUGAACAAUAUCAUCAAGAUUCGAGUGAAAACCCAAUCUUCUGCUUCGGAGGAUAUUCAAAGCCCGAUUAAUACCCAUGUAAGAUUCUUCAAGUUGUUUGAUGACAAACUUGGAAGAUGUGGUUUUCAUUCGAUCGUCAAGGUCAUUGAGUUCGGCAGUGAGAACAGAAUCUUCUCUCAUGUCUCGAACAACAUCAGAUGCUUGAGCAAUAACUUCAGAAGGAAUUAGCAAAGAUGCCACUUCACCAUCAAAUGAAUUUUCCACGAACUUGUCAAGCUGCUCCAUGAUGAAUACAUGAUUGUAAUAAUGUGGAGCAUCAGAAUGGACUUCAGUCUGUGCAACUGGAGCAUUUUGCACGGGAACUUGCUCAGAUGGUGGCUAGAAGCCAAUGGUUGAGCCAAAGUAGGAGCAACCUUCGCAGCCUUUUCCUUCGGUGCAGCAUCUUGAGGAGCAGUUUGCUCGGUGGUUGGUGCCUUGAUUUUCUUCAUCUUUGGCUUUGGAAUUGUUUCGCCUGGCUUGGCACUGCCAAUUGGAGCAUCAACUACCAAAUCCUUCAAGUUUAUUUCCUCGGGAUGGGGAGUUGGUUUCACAGAAUCCUUCAUGGUAAUAGUAGUAGGUGGAGUCUUUCUUUUCAAAAUGAUCUUCUUCGGAGGUGCUAUUGGAGCAGUAUGAGCAUGGAGAUCAGGUAGCACUGUAGAGGUUGUGAUGUUCACUUGAUCAUUGAGAGUAGGAUCAAUUUACUCUCUUGCUGGUGGUGGAUCAUCCUUAUCGAAAGAAUUGCUUUUGGCAUUACUGUCGGUUGGUUCAGCCAGCCUUUUCUUCAUUGCACUCUUUUUCUUCAAUGCAGCAGUGCUAGGAUCAUGUUUGCGCUUAGAACGUCCUUCUGAUUUUCCUUCGGCCUUUUUCUUCUCAACUUCAUAUUUGAGAAGACGACGAUUUUCUUCUUCACGAGCUCUUUCUUUUUCUGCCCUUGGCUCUCUUGAGGGCAUUCAUAUGACGCUUUGCCAGUUCAUCAGGAUAGGAUUUGGGAGUGCGAGGGGAGGACUUAUCAACAUUUGGUGGUGGCGGCAGUCUCUCUUGGGGAUCAGCAGCACGAAUGAGACCAAUUUCACGGCAGUCAUCCCAUGGAGGAUGAAAGGCAAACUUCUUCGCAAGCCAAGGAUGAAUCAUUUCAUAGUUGAACCACUUGCGCACCCAGUGGCGUCGAAUCCUUUGCAGGCGCUUGUCUCUUUCACGUUUUGACUCUCUUGGAAUAGUUUUGUAAUUACCAUGACAGAUGUAUUCAGCUAAAUUUGCAUAUGGUUGUCUGCCAUCCUUCUUUUUCUUCGGAGCAUCUUCUUCUUGCUUGUCAGCACUGGGUGCAUUUCUUUUUCUCUUGCCAGUUGUUGGGCCUGCCGCUGGUCCCUUUGCAUCGGUGCUUUUGACUCAUCUAUUGUACCCAAAAGAAUAUCUUCUCCAUCAUCCAUGCUCAUUGACCAAGCAGAAUCUUCAACAGUACAUAGACCUGUGAAAAAGAAUAGAUGCGAGGCAGAACAGAGACAGGGUCACAAAUGUUCACAGCGAAGAUUUUUUGAACAAAAACGUUUUGCUGAAGGAUUAGAUGCAGAAUUCAAGAAAUGUUUCAAAUGAAAGAAAUGUAUAGGACGAGAUAGAUUGUGUCCGAAGAGUAUACUAGUCAGCAUGCUAUGCAUUCCAUUCGAACGAGACAUAACACAAACCCUAGAUCUGAUUUUUUUGGAUGCGAGGGACAACUACAAACCACAUCCGCACAAUAUACCUAAGUAGUAAAGAUCUAAGAUAUGCGGUAAAAAUGAAAAAAAAUAACCUUGGAUGAACUCAAAAUGAGAAGAACAGAAGACCGAGUUCGCACUACACAUACCCUAGCUUGGUGACGUGCAGUAGCUACGGCGGCCCGGGAAAGAAGAUGUCCCACGACGGCGAGGAAGGACUCCGGCGACCACUUUCCGGCAGUGAAGCAGCAAAGGGAUCGUUGGCGUCGAGCACAAGGAGGAGCGUUGUGAUAGGGCUUUGGAGGAGAUGGUGGCGAGGAGGAAGAGAAGCGGAUGAGGGAGCGGAGGUGCUGCUGUAUUUAUAUGCGAGAGAAAAUAACCGUGGCUAGUGAAUCCGAUCGAACGGCCACUAUCAUGAGACGAUUGCUAUUCAACGGACAGGAUGGGGUGGCAAUUGAUGGAUUGCAAGUGACAACCGUCAUAAAAGAUCGUGGUCCUGACUUGGCCGCAAAACCCCCAAAUUUUGGAUAGCUUUCGCCAAAAUAGAUUAAAGUUCAGACCUAAUCUUUACCGUGAUCAAGGACACCUGAUAAAGUUUUGGUACCAAAUGAAAUUGAGCAUUCAUAACGGAAAAAUAUAGAUUAGAAGAGAUAGAACAGAGGGAAAACGGGGUCCUAGGAAUUUCACUCAAUCAACGAAACACAAACACCCGAAAGAAUAGCUAUGAGAGAAAUGCAUUCGGACAAACACAAAACUUUUGAUCGAACAGAAACUCAAUGAAAGAAAGUUGUGGUGGUGUGACCCACCGUAUAAGAACUGUAUGACCUUGAGCAUCGCACAAUUAUCGUGGAACCCGGUUAGUCUAGUUCUUCGUUGAUGUAUUCACUCUCAGAAAGAAAAUUUCACUUUGUCAAAGUUUUCAAACCCUUCGAGUGUUGUGCACCCAUUCCUUCUAAGAUGUGAAAGUGUUGGCACGGGUGCCGAGUCAAGCUUACCACCUGUUUGCAUAGUCCAGGAUAUUUAGGUCACAUUGUAACGCAUAGAAUCUUUUCUCAUCGAGAUGCUUGGUGAAAAUAUCUACGAGAUUGUCUUCGGUCUUGACGUGAUUGAUGUCAAUAUCCUCUCGAGCAACAUGAUCACGAAUGAAAUGAUGUCUGGUGGCAGUAUGCUUGGUGCGAGAAUGCCGCACUGGGUUGUGUGCAAUUUUGAUAGCACUCUCAUAGUCACAAUAUAGAUGAAUCUUCUUGAUCUUGAUGCCAUAAUCCUUUAGAGUCUGCUUCAUCCACAAUAACUGAGUGCAACAAGCGCCAGUAGCAAUGUAUUCGGCCUCAACCGUAGAGAGAGACACACAAUUCUGCUUCCUUGAUGACCAACAUACCAAUGAUCUACCGAGGAUAAUCUAAGUCUGAUUAGCCAACGAGAUGAAACUGUGCUCCCUUAGGGUACCAUAAGCCUAAGGUGGGGGUGUGAGCCAAAUAUCUCAAAAUAUGCUUGACCGCCUAGUGGUGCAAUUCUUUUGGUGCAGCUUGAUAGCGGGCACACAUGCAAACACUCAACAUAAUAUCAGGUCUGAAUAGAACCAAUCAUAGAACGAUACGCCUUCUGAUCGUAAUCCUUACCGUACACAUCUGCGUCUAUCUUACCAUUCAUGGGCAUUGGAGUUUUGUAGCCCUUCAUUUUGGAAUCUUGCAUUUUGAACUUCUUCAGACACUCUCUCAGAUAUUUCUCCUGAGAUAUGAAAAUUCCAUUUGCUUGUUGACAUAUUUGCAGGCCGAGAAAGAACUUAAGUUCACCCAUCAUUGACAUUUGAUAUUUUUUGGACAUAUUUUUUCCAAACUCUAAGUUGCAAGCAUUGUUAGUACAGUCGAAGAUAAUAUCAUCCACAUAAAUUUGACACAUGAAUAGUUCAUUAUCAAUAGCACGAGUGAAAAGUGUGGGAUCAGUGGAUCCUGUCUUGAACCUUUUUUCGAGCAGAAACUUCUUCAAGGUGUCAUGCCAUGCUCUAGGGGCUUGCUUCAGCCCAUAAAGAGCCUUUUUCAACCUGAAAACUAUGUUAGGAACUCAGGGUAUUCAAGGCCAGGUGGUUGUCUAACAUAAACUUCCUCAUCAAUUUCACCAUUGAGGAAAGCAUUUUUCACAUCCAUUUGCUAAAGCAAGAUAUCAUUGAAAUUUGCAUAAGCGAGAAGAAUACAAAUUGCUUCAAGGCAUGCAACAUGAGCAUAAGUUUCACUGAAAUCAAUAUCUUCUACCUAUUAUACCGUUGAGCGACAAGACCUGCUUUGUUUCUCACAACAAUGUCAUUUUCAUCUUGCUUGUUUCGGAAUAUCCAUUUGGUGCCGAUGAUAUUAUGCUUCUUAGGAUUCAGAUUGUCGACCAAUUCCCAAACAUCAUUCAAUUUGAAUUGCACCAACUCCUCUUGCAUAGAAUUCAUCCAAUCUAGAUCAUUCAUGGCUUCCUCAUACUUGGUAGGUUCUGCCAAUGAAACAAAGGAGAAACUGCCACAAUAGUUAGCCAAACAAGUGCGUGAACGAGUUAUGGGUCGAUAACCUGGAUUCUCGAGUUCAUCAAGAAUUAAUGAAGGAUCAACUUGAUUAGCCACUCGAGGAUGAGGAUUUUCAUCUUGAUGAUCAUUAUCACUUUCAUCAGCAUCAACAUUUGUAUCGCCAUUCCCUUCAGGAUUGCCAUUUUGCUCGGCAUUUGGAUUUAGGUUGCCAUUAGUAUUUGGAGUGGCAUUUGCUUCGGCAGUGGCUUGGCGAGUUCUGCUUCGAGUCAUAGGAGCAUCAUCAUAGAAAGAGUCAGGUGCAUUUUCUUCAACAGGCUUGACGCUCCAAAUAGCCAUUUGCCGAAUAGCAUCCGAGAUCCAUGGUUUAUCUAUCACAUUUGGCAGGUGCUCCUUUUGGGAGCCAUUAGAUUCAUCAAACCGCACAUUUACCGUUUCCAUAACUUUCCCGUGGUGAGAGUUAUAGACACGAUAAGUAUGCGAGUUCGAUCCAUAACCAAGAAGAAAACCUUCAUGUGCCUUAGGUGCAAACUUGGAAGAAUGAUUCAUAUCACGAAUUUAACAAGGUGCACCAAAAACACGUAAAUAAGAAACAUUUAGUUUCUUGCUAGUGAUAAGCUCAUAUGAGGUUUUCUUAAGGAACUUGUGUAGAUAAACACGGUUGAUAACAUGACAAGCAGUAUUAAUAGCAUCAGCCCAGAAGCGAAUAGGAGUUUUAUACUCACUGAGCAUUGUUCUUGCAAUUUUGAUGAGAGUUCUAUUCUUUCGUUAAACACCUCCAUUCUGUUGGGGAGUGUAAGUGACAAAGAACUCAUGAGUAGUACCAUUUUCGUCGAGAAAAUCAUUGAUAUGAGUAUUUUUGAACUCAUUCCCAUUGUCACUUCUGACAUGCUUAAUUCGCACAUCAUAUUCAUUCUAGGCUUUCUUAGCAAAGCUUUUGAAGAUAUCUUGGGUGCAGGUUUUGUCUUCGAGAAAGAAUACCCAAGUGUAGCGAGAGAAAUCAUCAAAAAUGACGGGGCCAUAAUGACUGCCACCGAAACUUGCAUAGUUUUGAGGACCAAAUAAAUCCAUAUGAAGAAUUUCCAGAGGUCUUGUUGUGGUCAUAAUUGUCUUUGAUGAAUGAUGCUUCUUGGCCAGUUUACCAGCCUCACAUGUAGCACAGAGACGAUCCUUGUCGAAUUUCACAUCAGGAAUGCCAUGGAGAUGAUUUUUCUUCACCAAAGUCUGCAAAUUUCUCAUACCUGCAUGACCAAGUCUUUGGUGCCACAACCAACCUUCGGUUGCUUUUGCAAGCAAACAAGUUUGGACUGAGGGACCCUUAGAGAAGUCCAUAAUAUAUAGAUCACCUUUUCUAAUUCCCUGGAAGACAAAGGAAUUGUCAGAGGCCAUGAAAACAAUGCAUUUGGAUAUGGAAAAUAAAACUAGCAUGCCUAGAUCACAUAGCUUGCCAACUAACAUAAGAUUGAAUCCAAGAGACUAAACAAGUAAAAAAUCAUCAAUAGACUUCUCUUUGGAUAUGGCAAUUUUACCUGGCCCAAUUACCUUUCCUUUAAUGUUGUCUCCAAAAGUGAUAUACUUUAGAGGUGAAGCAGUUAAGUUGGGGUCGACAAACAACGAAUUGUCUCCGGUCAUAUGACUAGUGCAUCCACUAUCCACUAUCCAUUAUCCAUUUUGUAAACCCAAAGACAUAGUCCUGUAGAAGAAUUAGGUUUUCUUAACCACCCACAUCUUUGCAGGUGGCUUCAAAAAAAUGAGUAAACAGGAUAUGAUUUCUUUCGGUAACCAUAGUUGUUACUCGAUGAGGUGCGAGCAUAAUCAAAGGAAUACACAUUGAAAUUCUUUCCAGAUGAAUGGGUAUAGUGAUUGAAUGAGGCAUGCAUGUACUCAUUCUGUUGAACUUUUUCAAGGAAGUAACGAGCAUUUUGAUCAUUCAUGGUUAGUAAUGUGGUAACAGGUAAUGCUUCAAUAGUUUCUUAGGCACCCAUAUGGCUUUCUUUGGGGGGGGGGCAUUCCUGCUAUUCGGUCCAACAUAGCGAGCAACAACCUCACCAUAUUGGUUUUUGAACAACUUGUAGUUGUCCAGAGAAUCAUCAUUAGGAUAUUCAGGGUGGGAGAGUUAUAUCCCGAAAGCAAAGAUGGAUCGAGCGUUUUGCUUUUGGCAGGCACCCAUACAACGCGAGGAUAUUGAUCAGAUUCCCAGUAGGAGCCAUUUUCUUUCAGCUUGCUUUCAAAACCAAUGCCUUCUUUCCUGGGAUUUUGUGAAGAAUGGAUUUCUUCAAAACAUCACAAAGGGUUUGAUGCCCUUCGAGAGAUUUGAACAUUCUUGUCUGAAGAAGAUCCUUCAACCUAGCAUUUUCAUCAGAAACAGAACCAUUUUCCUCGACAGAGGGGUUAGCAUUCACAGAUGAUUCAGCAUUUGAUUCGGCAUUGGUUCGUUCAAGAUAUUUUAAGCAAGGUGGAACAAAUACUUCAGGUUUCUCUUUAAGUUGUUGGGUGAGAAGAGAAUUUUCUCUGAUCAAAUCCUCAUGAGCCUUUCUCAGCGCCUUGAGUUCAUGUUUCCUUUUUAGGUAAUCAUAGGUCAAUCUUUCAUGGUCAGCUGAGAGAAAAUCAUGAUGAUUUGUCAGUUCUUCUAUUCGUGACUUGAGAGUGGAAUGAUCUUCUGUUAAUGACAGAUUUCUCCAUCUCCUCAACCAACAACCCUUCAGAUUUCCUGAGAGUUUUCUCGAUUUUCUCAAGAGAGUUUUGUUGAAUGUUAGCAAUUUUGAUCAAUUUAGCAUGGUCAUCCUCAUCAGAAGAAUAUUGAUCACUGGAGUGAACCUUGUGGUGUUUGGAGGAUACAUUUCUUUCGAGGCUUUGGCCAUGAAGUAGGAGAUUCAUCAUCGCUUGACGGAUUCCCUAGAAAUUUGUUGUAGGGUAUGAAGCAUAUGCAAUGCCAGCCAUGCCAGAGUCAGAAUCCUCAUCGGCUUCUUAGGAGUCUGAUGAUUCUUCUUCAUCAGAAUCCAUUUCCUUGCUGAUGUACGCCUUGGCCUUGCGAGAGUUAUUCUUGUGGUUGGAGGAGGACUUGGAAGGAUUCAUUAAGGAAGAUUUUGAAGAGGAGUUGUCCUUCUUCUUGAAGAACUCCUUUGUUUUCUUCUCAUCAUCGGUGUCGUAGUUCUUGCUCUUGCUUUUGCUUUGAUAGUUACCAGUAUCAUAUAUUUCACUAGCACGGAUUUCAGCUUCCCAGAGAGGGCAGUCUAAAAUGAAGUGUCCAGGCUUUUUGCACUUGAAGAAGGUGUAUUCUUCAGUAGGUUUUGAUGAAGAUUUUGAACCGCCAGAGUUGCUUGAACCUUUCUUCUGAACUAGCUUUUCUUGUGAAAAUGCUAGAAUCUUUUCGCGAUCAGCGCGAGAUCAUUGUUGAUCCUUUCAGGGUCAUCAGAAUCUUCUUCGACAUUUCCUUUGGAGGAAGAAUCGGCCAUAGCCUUGAGAGCAUGGCUUUUGUGAUGGUUUGAACCAUAUAGAUCUCUCUUCUCUUCUUCUUGUUCCUCGUGGGUGUUUAGUAUUUUCAUGAUAUCAGUAGAGUCGAGAUCUUUGAAAUCAACUCGUUCCCUGAUCAUUAGAACAAGUGUGUCGAAUGAACUAUCAAGUAAUCGGAGCAACUUCUUCACAACCUCAUGGUCAGUGAUGUCUUUGGCGCCGAGGCCUUGCAGCUCAUUUGCGAUGUCACUCAGGCCAUCGAAGGUUUGCUAACAGCUUUCAUUCCAAUGCGCUUGAACCAAUUGAACUUUGCUCGAAGAGUGUCAAUGCGAGCUUCUUUCUAAGUUGAAACACCUUCCUUUAUCUUCUCGAGAAUGUCUCUCAAUUCCUUCCAGUUUCACAUUAUCGAUAGCGAAGAAAUUGAACACGACAGAGAUGGCCACCAAUUUCACCUUUAGCUUGUGCAUCCAUCUGAAUGAGUUUCUUCUCGGCAUCAGUGGGGCUUGAGAUAUUUCAAUCGUGAAUCCAAAGUGCACCACAUUCCACAUGUCAUCGUUAAUGGUUUGGAGACGGAUCUUCAUCUUCUCCUUCCAAAAGGGCUAGUCUGUCCCAUUGAAUAUGGGAAUGUUGAGAUGCAACUUGUAGCUCAUUGAAGACAUACUUAAACUCCAAUGUUGUUAGACCAAAAUGAGCAGAGUCAGGGAGUACCUUGCUCUGAUACCAAUUGUAGGAACGAAAUACGUCUACCAGAGGGGGGUGAAUGGAAGCUUUAAAAUUUCUUCAAAAAUCUCAAAACUCUCGGAACCCAGUAGCGGAGCGAAUGAAAAACAAACUACAGCAAGCUAUAAUAAGUACCGAAUGAAAACUAAAACAUGCAUCGAGACAAAUCACAUGAAGGAAAACAUAUCAAAUGUAAACAUGGGUAGCAAAGGUAACCAGUGAUGCUCGAUGACGACAGGUUAUUUGUUCGACUAGUUCGUCCUUCUACACAAGGACUAUUUCUGGUUGGAGGGGUUGUGACUUAACACGAAAGAUAAACUCUCUUCACCCUAUUCUCCUCGACAAUUGGUUCGUCAACAAUGACGAUCACUCAUUAUAGAUACUUGAGGCGAUCUACGAACCUUUACAAGCUUCUUCUUUGAGAACCACAAUCACUUUUGGUCUUUGAAACAAUUGACACCUAACCGUCUUGAGAGUUUGCAGCUCUCAAGAGUAAUAGGCGAAGCAUACUAGACUUAGAUUCGAGUGAUGCGGAACCACUAUCUAAUUCUUUGGCUCUAUGUUUUUUCUCUCGGUGGAUAUUAAACUCAAAUCGCUCAGAGAGGGCAUUGCUCAAUAGUCUUACCAGAAUCAAAGGGAGUGGCCACCAACAAAGCCGGAGUGGGGUGGCUAUUUAUAGUCGCAACCUUCCUUGGAGGGAAAUGACCAUUCUGGACAGGCGGUCCAGCCAAUGGCCAACUUACAUGUUUAAAACGGUCGGAUUUUGGAGCAACAGUAACAUUUCUUGAGGAACAAGCAAUCUAACUCCUCGGUCUGAGGCUAAUUUCUCGCAUCAAAGAAGAUCACACAUUUUGCUAGCAAGUAUUUGCUCGGAACACAAACAGGUUUCUAUCGCAACUUUCAUAGGAUUUGAGUUUAGCAUCGGAGAAUCAAAGCUUCGAAUGCUACACCCCUCUUAAUAGUACGGUGGUCCUAUGACUCAAUAAAGAGAAGAAGAAGAAGGAAAUAAAUGUUACAUCUUCACUUCGUCUUCAAUCUCCUCGGACACAGUCAUCUUCCUCAGACAAGCACCGAACCAAUUGCUUCACUUCAGCAAUUUUUGAGGGGUCACUCUUGUUAUCAUAAUCUUUGGUGAUAACCUUCACUGCAGCGCAUGGAGAUUACCUUCGUCAUUUAACUCAAACUCCUCGUGAUCUCAGGGACUUGUUACUCUGUGUGCACUAGCAAACACAUAAGUCCCAUACUGUUUAUGUCAACAAACUCCUAAACAUAAGGGGCCUACCAUUGCACCAACAGCUACCAGGAAUUUUUUUCUGGAGGUAGGAGACGAAGUGGGAGAAAGGGAUAAGUGAGGGGGUCCCUAUGGGGCCCACCACCCACCAGCGUGCACCUAGAGGGGUAGACGCGCCCUGGUGCCUUGUUGGCACCUGGGGAAUCCCCCUGUGAUGGUUUUAGUGCCAAAAAUUCUUAAAUAUUCAAAAAAAAAUCAUGUAAAAAUUUCAGGUCAUUUUGAGCACUUUCAUUUUUGGGCACUUUUUUAUUGCACGGAUAAUCCAGAAAACGGGAUAUUCAUGGCAUUUUAUUGCAUUUAACUAAAAGUAAUAGAAAAUAUAAAGUGAGUGCAGAAGGUUGUGCCUACUAAAUUCAUUGACCACACGCCUCUCAAAAAUAAUACAUUAAUAAGGUUGAUCAAAUCUUAUUAACAACUACUCUCGAUUAGCAUGAAACCGAAGAAUCUUGUAAAACACUAGGUUACCUCAACGGGGAUUUGCAUCUCCCCAACAAUAACUGUCUCAUAUUUCCUUUUAACAGUAGGAAGGGGAAUUUAAAAACUUCCAAUAGUAAUUGUCAGAGUCUUUUCAAUAACAUGAAUACCAUUUACUUGAAAUUGUUUCUUCGUAAAGUGCACCUUAUGCUCAUUACCAUUGAUAUGAAAAGUGAUAUUGCUUUUGUUGCAAUCAAUAAUAGCCCUUCACUACUAGGGAAAACCUCAUACACAGAACUUUAGCAGUAGCGCGUGUCAAAAAACCACGCUAGUGCUAAGUAGCAGUAGCGCAUUGGCGUAAACCGCGCUACAGAUACAAUUGUAGCAGUAGCGUGCCUGAACAUAAAAGCGCUACUACUAAAAUUUCCACUGCUUAGUCGAUAGGCUACACAUAGUAGUAGCGAUCUACGGCGAACAGCGCUACCGCUACAUGCUUUGUAGCAGCGCGUUUACGCAGAAAGGCGCUACUGAUAAAGGAAAUACAAUUAAAUGGAAAGCAAAUAGAAAAGUAAAUGAAAAUGAAAGAAAUAGAAAAAGGAGAAAGGAAAAAAUGUAAAGAAAAAUAAAUGAAAAAGGGAAAAAAGAGAAAGGAGUAGCAGUAGCGCGUAUCGAGGAACGCGCUAUAGCUAACUUAGCAGUGGCGCAUGUUGGGGAUAUACAUAACAGGUAGGCCCACGAAGGGUCGGAAUAUCAUGAAGCAUGGGGUCCACACAACAUGUGGGUCCAGGUCAAUUUCAUACAGACACACUAUCCACUCGGACAAGCAGCAUACUAUCCACUCGACCAAGCAACAUAUCAUCCACUCGGAUGACGGUUCACCACUCGACCGUACGACUCACUCGGAUAUACGAAGACCAGCAGGCAGCAAGGCAGUCGGCAUCUUUCUAAUAGUGAGGGCUUAAUGGUGGGCUGGCAUUAUGGCAUUCAUACCCCACUUUGUAACGUAGGAGGUGAGGGGGUGGCGCACUCUAUAUAAGCCACCCCGACCACUAGACUGAGGGGGGCUCUUCUUCCACCUCUCUCUCUUUUCACCAUUAGUCUCAGGACUUAGCUCAGGCAUGGGGAUCCGUUCCUCUCUCUCACACACAUUGUAAUCUCCGGAUAUAUACUCAGAUAAAACAAAGCCUCUCCGGAGCACGAGACGUAGGGUUGUUAUCUCCACCGCGAGAGGCCCGAACUCGCUAAAACCACCGUGUCACCCAUAUGCAUCUCGAUAGAUCAUGCUCCGUUAUACUACCCCUAUUCUACUGUCAGACUUAGAACCACGACAGUUGGCGCCCACCAUGGGGCAUGGCGUCUAUCGAACCAUGGUGCAAAUGGUUUUUUCUUCAAUCUUCAACAGCAGAUCAGCUACCAUCGCCAGAGAAAUUGGCGCUUUGGUCAUCGCGCCAUUCGUACAAACAAAAGGAUCAGAUCAUUGUCAAAGGCAACCGCCGCAAACGGCCACCAACGCGGUCCGCUGCGUCUCCUCCGGCCUCGACGCUACCGUCGAGCUCCUGCAAACGGCCAGCGACGGGUCCGUCCCGUCGUCCCCGACCUCGUCUACGACUCCACCACCGAGCUCCUACACAUAGGCACCGGCGCAGUCCACCACGUCGUUUCCGCCCUCAUCUACGACGUUGACGGCGGCCCCUCACGCACGGCACUCCUCAACAGCGACUGCAAAAACGGUCCGGAUCUUCCCGGCGACCACGACAAGCGACCCGACUUCGCGAGAGGACAAGGCAUCCGUCAUCCGCGCCCGGUCGUAAUCUUUCCCUCUUCCUUUAAUUAAUACUUAUCCAUGCAUGCGUAGUUUUUUCCUCAAUCCUCUCGGCUGCAAGUUCAUUGGAUCGGUUAGGCACCCGUGCCAUUAACUGCGUACAUAAUGCGGCAGCCAAUGCAUGUCGUAACUACGACCAGCGCUGAACGCAUCCAUGCGUACGUAGUUUUUUCGUCGAUCUUCUCUGUUGCAUGUUCACCCAAUCGGUUAGGCUCCCACGCCAUUAACUGCGUACUUAACGCAGCAGCCGAUGCAUGCAUGCCGUGAAUGCAGCCAGUGGUGAAUGGGGGCUUAAUUUGUGGCAUGCAAAGACGAAACAUGCAGUCCGGUGCAACCAUAAUUGCAUGCUAAUACAUUUGCUGUUACUACUCUUCAAAAGCGCACACAAUUAGUACUCUGCGUUACAGUAUUAAUCUGUUGCCUGAAUGUUCGGGUAACAUGCAGGAUACACUCGGAUAAGGCUGGCCGUACCUCCACAUGCAUCGCAUCUAUCCGUCGUAACCGCCNNNNNNNNNNNNNNNNNNNNNNNNNNNNNNNNNNNNNNNNNNNNNNNNNNNNNNNNNNNNNNNNNNNNNNNNNNNNNNNNNNNNNNNNNNNNNNNNNNNNAUCCACUCGGAUGACGGUUCACCACUCGACCGUACGACUCACUCGGAUAUACGAAGACCAGCAGGCAGCAAGGCAGUCGGCAUCUUUCUAAUAGUGAGGGCUUAAUGGUGGGCUGGCAUUAUGGCAUUCAUACCCCACUUUGUAACGUAGGAGGUGAGGGGGUGGCGCACUCUAUAUAAGCCACCCCGACCACUAGACUAAGGGGGGCUCUUCUUCCACCUCUCUCUCUUUUCACCAUUAGUCUCAGGACUUAGCUCAGGCAUGGGGAUCCGUUCCUCUCUCUCACACACAUUGUAAUCUCCGGAUAUAUACUCAGAUAAAACAAAGCCUCUCCGGAGCACGAGACGUAGGGUUGUUAUCUCCACCGCGAGAGGCCCGAACUCGCUAAAACCACCGUGUCACCCAUAUGCAUCUCGAUAGAUCAUGCUCCGUUAUACUACCCCUAUUCUACUGUCAGACUUAGAACCACGACAGCGCACUUCCCGAAAAGCGCUACUGCUACUUCUGACUUAACCGCGCGGUUCGUUCUUCCCCAAGGCCACUUCCCCCAAAUCCCAACUCCUCCGCUGUCGCCGCCAUCACCCGUUGGCCGCCAUGCGCUCUCCCGUCGCUCUUCGCACACCCUCGACGCCGCCCCCGACCCCGGAUUUGACGCCGCCCCCGACCCCGACCUCGACGCCGCCCUCCGCCACGCGCCCGAGCCCCGACCCCGACCUCGACGCCGCCUGCCCCUCCAUCGCCGCAGGCACCCGAGGUGAGCACGCCUGCUCCUCCCCUUCCCCUACCUCUGCCUAGGGUUCUUCGAAUUUUAAUUGCAUCAAAUUAGUUAGGGUUCAUCUAUUGCAUCAAAUUUUGGAUUAUCCGCUACCACUUUCCACCCAUAGGUUCAUCAAAUUAGAUGGUAAUUAGGGCAGUAGUUCCUAGGUACUAAUUAGUUAGUAAGAACUAGGUACUAAUUAGGUACUAGUUUAUUUUUAUUUAUAGUAAGUUUAUUUUUAGUAAGAACUAGUUGAAUUAAUAGAACUAGUUGAAGAUGUCACAUUUGUUGUUAUUUUUUUAGUUAAAGCAAUUUUUCCCGCAUCGACGUCGACGAUGCCUAUCCCGCAUCCUCGUCGUCGACUCGGCGGAGGACACCUGCUUGACCAGAUGGGUCGUGUCCGGGACUGGGUUCCGCCGGGCUGGUACUGGGAGGCGCUACCUACCGGAGGCACAUCUUGGUGAGAAGUCACCCCGUCGUUGACCCGAACCUUCUUUGGUAGCGGUCGCAUGGGCCAGUGAUGGUCGAGGAGCUUGAGGACCCCGCGGAGGUGGUAUGUCACCGUGUAAGCGAGGAGGACGCGCACGUCCGUCGCUACUUGGUUGCGCUGGAGCACAGGUUCUCCAAUACCUGGCAGGUUCUCCAGGAAUCUCACUGGAGCUAUGAUCCUGUCAUGGUUCCUUCUCUUUGGGUGUCCACCGCCCGCGCCGAUACCCGUCGUUCGCUAGGGUUUUAGUUGUAUUAGUGAUGUUAUAUGUAUGAUACUAUUCGGGAUGUAUUAGUGAUAAUAUUCAAUGAUGUACGGACACAAUAGAUGAUUUACUUUUGCUUAUUGAAUGCAUGCUAAUUUGAAUACUUAUUUAUUUUACGAUUUGGUUUUGCUUAUUGAAUGCUCAUGUCAAUAUGAGUCCUAUAAGAUAUUUUGAAAUUUAUAUCUUGUGUUGCUCAAAUAGGAUAUGUGCUUGCCCAAGUGACGAGUCAUGUUUGCAGGUUACACCUCCAAGUGGCCUAUGUUUUGCCGGAGUGUUGAUUCAUUUCCGUUCUAGCAAAUUUCAGGCGCUCAAUAUGUCCUAUUUUAGCAAAGGUCAUGCCAGAUUUUUCCGUGAAUAUUGGCAUGACUUGUGCCAGAAUAUGUAGGAAAUAUCGAGUGCCCCGGAUUUGUGUGUUGAGUAUCCUGGUAGUUGUCUUCGAUCGAUUUUCAAUUAAUGUUUCAACUAUGAAUAUAGGAAAUAUCUUACGACGAAAAGGAUUUCGGUAUUUGCAAAUACUUCGAAGACGAGCGGCCUGUGCGACAGAAUCUUCCUAGAUGAUGAUAGGCGCUUCAACAUCAAGCUGGACGAGAACUUCGAAGUGGAUACAGUAAGUCACAACGACAAGUCUUUUGUCGUAAUUAAGCAUGACAUCUGCUUCAUUUGCUUCAACUUAUAAUUUAUUUAUUUUUACUAUUCUACUAGUGUAUCCCCUGCCAUGCAAGAGUUUUUGUCUUGGAUAAGAUAGGUUUCAGUCCUAUGAAAACUACUAUGGAGGUAAAGAGAGAUUUACUUGAAGACCGAGCAUGGUUAUACUUCCCACGCAAAAUUAUACAACGCAGACACCUACACCUAUUUUGAAUGCAAAACUUGGCAAGCACUAUUCAAGACUUAUCCAUUUGAGCGUGAUAUGGUUAUCACCUUUGAUAUUCAUCCGGAAGAUGAUAUUGAAGAUAAUAUCGACAUCUGGGUCGAUGUGCAGACGCCUCCAGUUAUACCAUUAUGUGAGUUUCUCAACCAUAUUUAUGUCUUUGCAAACUCCUAUCAUCAUCAAUGGAAAUAAGCUGUCAAUAGAAAUUAGUUUUCAACUAUUUUUGACAACUAAUUUCUAUUGACAGCUUAUUUCCAUUCAAGCAAACAUGUCCAGCACUUGGUAGACAGGACCUACUACUGUCCCGGGGCUGAACUAAACUGCGAGGAGAUAAGUUAUUAUGUUUCAUGGCUUGAGGAUCUUCAUACUGUCAAGACAAAUUAUUUUUCUGGACUUAAAAAUCUUAGUACUCAAAACAUGCGACCAAUAGUGUUCGUACUGAACUACGGUCACAUCUAUUUAGGAAAUAUGGCAAGAUUUUUACUAUUUGUCCUCAGUGCAUCUUUUGCAUACAUUAUUUUUUAAGCUAAACUUCAUUGCUAAGUAUGUUACUAUAUGAUGUUCUUCAACAGGGACUCCCGAUGAAUGUUGUGCCUCAUUGGAUCGAGACUAAAGGUCGCAUGAGAAUGGUUAGCUUACGGCCAAGACAUCCUACAAUGCACUUUAGUGCAUUCUGGAUUUCUAAAAGCGAGGAAUGCUUAAUAGUAAAAUACUGGAGCAAAAUUGUGAACGGUCGCAAAGAAGUACUAGGGGGCAGCAAUCAGAAGCGCAGCCCGCGAUUAGGAGACAGGUUCAUCUGCAUGCUCCAACAUGAUGAAGUAGGAGUGCUACACAUGUUUUAUGCUAUCUUACCUGAGAGAGAGCAGCAGGAGUGGUUAGCUAGCUAGAAAUGAGUUUGAAGAUGAUGAUGUGCUACACUAUGACUAUGAUGAUUAAAUAGCUAGUGUUGGUGGUAAUGACUAUGAUGAUUAUUAUUAGCUAGUGUUGGUGGUGAUUAUAUAGCUACCGCAACUAGUGUUGGUGGUGAUUAGCUAGCUAGAAUGAGUUUGAAGAUGAUGAUAUGCUACACUAUGACUAUGAUGAUUAAAUAGCUACUGUUGGUGGUAAUGACUAUGAUGCUGAUUAAAUAGCUUGUGCUGGCAGAUUAGAUUCAAGUGGAGGCAACAUGUGGUGCACAUCGAAAGUAUUACUAGUACAAACUAGAUCAAGUUUGGAUUAGUAGUAUACUUUUGACAUGCACCACAUGUUGCCUCCACUUGAACCUAAUCCACCUUCAUUUGACACACUGUUAUGGACAUAAUGAUAUAAGCCUCAUAAUUGGUAUUGUACCAAAAUUUGUACAACGGCGUAUAAAUACACUAAAAAUGAAAAAAAGAAUACUAGUAGCGAUGGAUAGUAAACACGCUGCUACUAGCUAGAUUAGCAGUAGCGCGGGAGUGAACACACGCUGCGGCUAUAUGUCUUAGCAAUAGCGCGUCUCGCACAUGCUACUGCUAAGUAAUAGCUGUAGCGCCUUACUAGUAGCGCAGUGUCCCACGCUACUAGUGGGCAUUAAACCCGCGCUACUACUAGGGUUUUCCCUAGUAGUGCUUGUACUGUUCAAAAAGGGCAUAUCAAGUAUAACAAAGUAUGUUAAGAUAGUAACAUUUGCAACUACAACGGGGCACAUCCUCACCAGACACUGAUAGGUAUGGCAGUUGAUUUGUCAGCCAUUUACAAUGAUAUUUCAGUGGGUGUGAGUUUACUCAAAUCAAGUCUUUUAUAUAAAGAGAAAUACAUAACACUAACACCGGCUCCUAAAUCACAUAAAGCAGUUUUGACAUAACUUCUUUAAUUGUAGCAUGGCAUAAUUGGUAUUCCUGGAUCUUCUAGUUUCUUAGGUACUCCAUCCUUAAAAGAGUAGUUUGCAAGCAUGUUUGGGAUUUCAGCUUCAGGUAUUUUUCUUUUAUUAAUGACAAUAUAUUUCAUAUAUUUAGCAUAAGGGGCCAUCUUUAAAAUAUCAGUCAAACGAGUACGUAAAAAGAGUAGCCUAAGCAUUUCAGCAAAGCGUUCAAAUUCUUCCUCAUCCUUUUUCUUAGAUGGUUUAUGUAACACCCUGAGAAUCAUGCUACAAUAAUCUUCCCCUAAUGGUGAUCAUGUCAUCAUGAUUAGUAUGAAAAUUACCACUUGUCCAAAAUCAAAGUCAAAUUCAAAUUUAAAUUGCAAGUGAAAUUAUUAUUUCUUCAAACUGUAAACUAAAAUGUUCACAUUACUCUAUAAAUUCCCCUGAUCUUUGUCAUGUUGAAACCAACUUAAUUUGACUCACAAAUAAAUUCCUAGGAAUUUAUUAAGUGGUCCAAAGGCAUUUAAUUUGGCCUUUUCAAAAUAAACAAAAAUUUCAACCUUUGCAAAUGCCCCAAAACUUUUUGUGCAGCCCUAGAAUAUUGCAUAGCAUUUUUGUGCUAUGUUUGAGCUCCAAAAAAAGUAAUUGUUGUCUAAACUAAAUAGGAAACAGUAGCAGUUUUAUUACAAAAAGAGAGAGGAGAAAUGACCCUAUGCCAAAAAAGAGAGGAGUAAUUGCUAUCUAAAAUGCCUUUUGAGGAGUAUCUGUUAAACAUUGUGUGUCACGGUAUGUGUAUAAACCGUGUUAGCUAGGUCAUGGCGUGUGUUGUACCAGUUAGCUUAGGUUAGGUUGUUGUGAUCUGAUCCUAGUAGUUAGCUUGGAGAUCAAUCCACACCUAACCUAAUCCUAACCUCCCUGUAAUCUUGCCGUCGGCCUCUGACCUUUAUUAACACGUAGCGCGCCCCUGCAAGAGCAUGUGCUUCCAGCCGUCGGCCUCGUUUACACCUAACCUAGGUCAUGUCUUCUUCCUCCUCCACUCCCGCCAUGGCCAUGCCUUCCCUCGCCUCCCUUGGCCACACCAUUAUGGAGAAGCUCACCCGUGAUAACUUCCUGGUGUGGAAGGUGCAAGUCCUUCCGCACAUCAGGGCUGCGGCGAUGAUGGGUUACCUCGACGGCUCGAUCAAGGAACCUGCUGCUAUCAUCGUCACCGAGAAGGAGAACACCGGUAAGAAGGAGAUCACCGAGACGCCGAACCCAGAGCACGCGAUCUGGGUCACCCAAGAUCAACAGGUGCUCACUUUUUUGCUUGCCUCAUUGUCUCACGAGGUUCUGAUGCAGGUCUCCAAGCACACCGCCGCCAUGGGCGUCUGGCAAGCCCUGGCCGAGAGCUUCUCCGCACAAUCCAGGGCGCGCCAGAUCCAGCUCUGAUCGGCAAUCGAAAACGCUCGCAAGGGCGACCUCUCUGCUUCCACCUACUUCACCAAGAUGACAGGGCUAGCAGAUGAGCUCGCUGCUACAGGAAAGCCCCUUGAUGAAGAUGAUGUCAUGUCACACAUCUUGGAGGGGCUCAUGCACGAGCCCGACUACAACGGGUUCGUCACCGCCAUCUCCACGCGUGCUGUCACCGAUCAACCGAUCGGCCUCAGCGAACUCUUCUCGAUGCUGCUCUCUGCGGAGUCCCGGAUCGCCGCUCAGCAUGCCGCCUACACCGCUCAUCACUCUGUCAACCUCGCUGCCAAAGGCGGGCGUGGCGGCUACGGCGGUGGACAUGGCGGUCAGGGUGGUGGACGCAUCGGCUACAACGGCAGCAACUACCCCGACAACUCGGGCAAUGGUAGUGGCGGUGGUGUGUCGCGCCAACAGGAUGGUGACAGCGGUGACCGCGAGCGCUGCCAAAUCAGCAACGGGGAAGGCCACGGUGCGUGGCGCUGCAGGAAACGGUUCGAUAAGAGCUACAACAACAACAACAACGUGCGCAACCCCGCAGGCAACGGCGGUGGUGGGCGCGGCGGAGGCGGCGGUAAUGGUGGCAACCCUCGCUCCGCCAACUCUGCUCACUCCUACUGCAUGAAUACCAACUGGUAUCUCGACACCGGCGCCACUGAUCACGUUACCAGCGAGUUGGAGAAGCUAGCCUUCCGUGAUCGCUACACCGGCACCGACCAAAUCCAUAGGGCGAGUGGGCAAGGUAUGGACAUAGCACAUAUUGGUCACUCAGUACUAUCUACUCCCUCUGGGUCCUUACACUUAAACAACAUUCUUCAUGCUCCUAGUGCCGACCAGAGUCUCCUUUCUGCCUAUAACCUUAUGCGAGAUAAUGAUGUGUUUAUUGAACUUCAUCCUAAAUUCUUUCUUGUCAAGGAUCAGGCUACCUGGAGAACAAUCCUUCAAAACAAGAGUAGAUGGGGCUUGUUCCCCGUGAUCGGAAGGCAAAGUGCCCCUCAACGCCAAGUUCUUGCUGCCAUCAAGCCAUCCACAUCUCGGUGGAAGAAGCGCCUAGGGCACCCUGCUUUUCUGAUAGUUCAAAAGAUUCUUCGCGACUUCAACCUUCCCAUUUCAAAUAAACAAGACCACCUCCUAGUGUGUGAUGCAUGUCAGAUGGCCAAGAACCAUCAGUUACCUUAUCCCGUUCAACUAGUGAAUCCACAGCUCCUUUAGAGCUUAUUUUUUCAGAUGUUUGGGGUCCUAGACCCAUCUCUGUAGGAAGAUAGAAAUACUAUGUCAGUUUUAUUGAUAAUUUUAGCAAGUUUAGCUGGAUAUAUUUGCUCAAAAAUAAAUCUGGUGUUUUCGAGAAAUUUCGUCUUUUCCAAGCUCACGUUGAACGUCUCUUUGAUUGUAAGAUCAUUGCCAUACAAACCGAUUGGGGUGGGGAGUAACAACGGUUGAACUCUUUUUUUAACGCAUUGGCAUCACACACCAUGUUUCUUGCCCACAUGCUCAUCAACAAAACGUCUCUGCAGAGUGAAAACAUAGACACAUCGUGGAAGCUGGCGCCCUUUCUUUACUUGCUCAUGCAUUCAUGCCACUCAAGUUUUGGGACGAAGCGUUCCUCACUGCGGUCUAUCUUAUAAAUCGUAUUCCCAGUAGAGUUAUCAAGAACCAAACUCCUUUAGAAUGACUCUUUGGCACUAAGCCCAACUACUCCUUUCUCUGCAUCUUUGGGUGUGCCGUCUGGCCAAACUUGCGCCCUUUCAACAAGCAUAAGCUUGAGUUUAGGUCCAAGCAAUGCGCCUUCCUAGGGUACAGUACCCUUCAUAAGGGCUACAAGUGUCUUGAUAUCUCCUCUGGUCGUGUUUAUGUUUCCCGUGAUGUUAUUUUUGAUGAGCAAGUUUUUCCCUUCGCAAGCCUCCACUCCAAUGUCGGUGCUCAACUUCGCAAAGAAUUGCUCCUUCUCCCCUCUCACCUUUUGCCAUCUUCUAACUUUGCUCAAGGAGGAGCUGAUUUUGCUGCUGACAAUAUGUCUUUGUCCAAUGCUAAUGACCCAGCUGAGAGUGUGCAGGAAACAGGACAGCCAAACAUUGAAGAUUUUGGUGAAAAUUCUUAUGAUUUUAUGCAGCACACUGAGAACUCUCAUGCAGCCACAGAAGAUCCACAGGUGGCCUCGGGAUCGGCGGCUGCAGCUGCGCCAGGCGAAUCAGCCGCGGGAUCCGCGUCUGCAGCAGCGCCAGGCGAAUCCUCGCCGAAAUCCGCGCCAACAGGCGGGUGGCCAGGUGGGUGCCCUGACUCGCUGUCUCCUGGUGGGCCAACCGGGCGCGCCCCCGCGGUGUCCCCGGCAUGGGAGGACGUGCGGUCCCCUGGCGGGCAGGCCGGGCGCAACCCACAUGGCCUCCAUGAGGCGGGGCGCGCGGACUCUGGCGCGGCGUGGUCCCCCUCUCUCCCCGUGGCCACUUCGGAACUGCCAAGUGGCAGUUCGUCACCGGCUGCCACACCAGAUCCCCCUGGGUCGCUGCAGGAGGGGGAUUCAGGAUCUUCUGUGUCUUCUGCGUCCGACUCCGUUGUCUCCUCUACGCAAAAUCGCCUACAAAUACAGCAAGCUCGACCAGCUCCACCUCCUCCUGCCCGAUCACAUACUAGGUCACAAAGUGGUAUUGCUAAACCCAAGGUAUAUAAAGAUGGUUGUGUUCGUUGGGGCUCUUUUUGUGCCACAGGUGAACCGAAGAAUUUGCAUGAUGCUCUCGGUGAUCCCAAGUGGAAGCAGGCCAUGGACGAAGAAUUUUCAGCACUCGUAGCAAACAAGACAUGGCGCCUGGUUCCACCGGUCAGAGGGAGGAACGUGAUUGACUGCAAAUGGGUGUACAAGGUAAAACGCAAAUCUGAUGGCACGAUUGACAGGUACAAGGCACGCCUUGUGGCCAAAGGCUUUAAGCAAAGGUACGGAAUUGAUUACGGGGAUACCUUUAGCCCUGUGGUAAAAGCUGCUACUAUCAGAUUGAUUCUUUUAGUUGCAAUAUCUAGAAAUUGGUGCAUGCGACAACUAGAUGUAAAGAACACGUUUUUGCAUGGUGUUCUGAAAGAAGAGGUGUUUAUGAGGCAGCCUCCUGGGUAUGAAAGUUCAGCUUUGCCACGACAUGUCUGCAAGCUUGAUAAAGCAAUCUAUGGUUUGAAACAAGCACCUCGACCUUGGUAUUAUCGUUUGUACUCCAAGUUGCAGUCUCUUGGUUUUUCUACUUCCAAGGGAGACACCUCAUUAUUCUUUUAUCAUCGGCAUGGAGUCACUAUUUUUAUGCUUAUUUACGUUGAUGAUAUUAUUGUCACCAGUUCCUCCUCUAGAGCAGUUGAAGCCCUUCUUAAGGAUCUGCGCAUGGAUUUUGCGCUCAAGGAUUUGGGCAACCUUCAUUUUUUUCUUGGGAUUGAGGUAAAGCAUGUUGCUAGUGGAAUUGUUUUGUCUUAAGAGAAAUAUGUACAAGAUAUCCUUGAGCGAGUGGGCAUGAAAGGCUGCAAGCCUUCUCCAACGCCUCUGUCUACUUCAGAGAAAUUGUCUCUUCAUGAUGGAGAGGUGUUUGGGGCCGAGGACUCCACGAGGUACAAGAGUGUUGUAGGAGCUCUGCAGUAUUUGACUUUAACCAGGCCAGAUAUUUGUUUUUCAGUUAACAAAGUUUGUCGGUUCCUUCAUGCUCCUACUAGUACUCAUUGUACAACAGUAAAAAGAAUUCUUUGGUAUUUUCAGGCAACCAAGAGUCAUGGUCUUAAACUUGCUAAGUCAGACUCUACACUUGUUAGUGCUUUUUCAGAUGCAGACUGGGCAGGUUGUCCUGAUGAUCGAAGAUCCACUAGAGGCUUUGCAGUGUUUUUUGGUGGUAAUUUGAUUUCUUGGAGUGCACGUAAGCAAGCUACUGUGUUUAGAUCGAGUACUGAAGCUGAGUACAAGGCCUUAGCAAAUGCCACUGCUGAGAUUAUUUGGGUACAGAAUUUGUUAACAGAGUUGGGCAUUUGUCACUCAUCUGCAGCGUCACUUUGGUGUGACAAUCUUAGUGCUACCUAUCUCUCUGUCAAUCCUGUUUUUUAUGCUAGGACGAAGCACAUUGAGAUUGAUUAUCAUUUCGUUCCUGAGAGGGUGGCUAACAAGCUCUUGAAUAUUCGGUUUUUCCUACGGGUGAUCAAGUGGCGGAUGGGUUUACUAAACCACUAUCACUGCGGCAGCUGGAGGUUUUCAGACACAAUCUCAACUUAGAUAGUUGUGAUUGAGGGGGAGUGUUAAACAUUGUAUGUCACGGUAUAUGUAUAAACCGUGUUAGCUAGGGCGUGGCGUGUGUUGUAACUAGUUAGGUUAGGUUGUUGUGAUCUGAUCCUAGUAGUUAGCUUGGAGAUCAAUCCACACCUAACCUAAUCCUAACCGCCGCCGGCCUCUGGCCUUUAUUAACACGUAGCACGCCCUGCAAGAGCAUGCGCUUCGAGCCUCGUUUACAGUAUCGACAUACUGAUACUUUCAUCUCAUCACCCAAGAACUCGUCACCCAAAAUCACACGAUUUUUCCAAUGUACUACCUCCGUUUGAGAACGUAAGAUGUUUUUGUUGGCUAGUUUAGCCUACAAAACCGUCUUAUAUUUUGAGACGAGGUAGUACUUCGUAAAAUUGGGACACACGUAUAAGAUUUAGUACUUAAGACUUGCACUUGAUAGCCAAAUUUCGUUUUCAAAUUCCCCAAUGAACACUGAUUAGCAGAACCGCGCCUUUCCCUUUGGCAACAAACUUUCACCCCGGGCAUGCAAAACACAAGCAGGUAUCCAAUCCCCAUUGUAUAUUUAUUCAAGAACAUCACUAAUUAAUGGUACAAAACAGCCAACUCCCAGCAGAGUGAGGUUACGGCGAGCAGAGCGGCGGCAACACCCAGCAAGGAGUACCCUGCGCCGGCGCCCCCUGCCGCGCCAUUGCCGGAGGAGCUGCCGUACUGGGCAUUGGCGCUCUCGAGAUGGAUGACCAGGCAGACGACGGCAAGAGGGGAGAGCGGUGGUCCAUCUUGAUGAUCUCGCUUUGCUUCUGAAGCCUGCUCGGUCGUGCCUAGGGAGAGGUGUAUAUAGAGGUGCAGACACGAUACGCUCUUGCACAAAGCAAACAGAGAGACAGAAAUUUGACUAGUUCUCUGAGGCUGGAGCUGAACCAAAGCUGCUAUGUUGGUUUUACAUAUUCGCCUGACAAUUCCUGAGGAAGGCGUGUUUCUGGCUGCAUCUCCAGUGACCGUGUCGAGAUUUCGCCUAUUUUCUGUGCGAGACCCAGGAGCUCAUUGACAAGGUCAGUUGCAGCUGGAAACCACCAUGUUGAUAGCAACCAUGACCAAAUCAAGAGCUGGCAGACCAAAUGAAUCAAGGAAUACAUUCACAACUGUUUCCGAUGCAGCUCUGCGCUUCGACUCAGCGAUCCAUCUGGUGUCGCAUCGAUCAAACACGCAAUCAUUGUGUGGUUGUUCCCAAUUGUGGCUUUUGAUCAUGUUCGGUCCAUCCCAAGUAGCUGCAUCCUCAAACAUGCCAGUGAAGUCGUCAGGUAGCGGUGUUAUGGAUUGCAGAGAACUCAGACCUGGAACAAACUAGACGGGAGAACACACGCACCACGUGAGGAGAUGGAAUAUGGCCUAGGCCUCCCGGCUGCAGAGAGGGCAAAGAUGCUGAUUUUGAAGCCUGUGUCGCUCCAGCAUAUCCUCUGUCUGGCAGCGGUUGGCGAAGAUCUUGCACUUCGCCGAUGCCCAGCCUUCCAAGAUUGGGCUAUUCCUUCAAACAGUGUCUUCAUAAGCAGAUUUAGCGGAGUAAACAAGGGCUGAGAAAUUACCAAAUUUAGUAAUCUUCGUCUCAUUGGCGGACUGGGCAUCGACGAGUAGAGUUAUACACCAGAAAGGAAUUAGCAACUUGUUACCGCACCUGCAAAGUUUAGCUCCAGGUAGCCUCGGCUUGGUACCACCAACCACUGAUAUAUAAAUACAUAUUGCCCGUGCUACUCACAGUUACAAAAAUUAAAUAUAAAGCGGGGCGAAAGCCUUUUUCGGACAUCCCGGUGCUCUGCUCGGGAGGAGUUUGGCAUAUUUCCAUGGGGUUUGAAACAGAAACGCCCCUCUCAAGUUCUAAACAGGCAAGUUCAAAAAGAACUUCUAAACAGGCGCCGGUCAGUUGUGACCGGAUAUUUUCAUUUUCUGUGCGCACGCUCAGGCUGAAUGUGCUCCCCACAUCUUCAGCUAGGAAAAUCCACUCAGGUUCUAGGGCAGAACACUGAAACUACAUCCACUCCCGCUCUAGCACACAACACUGAAACAACUUCCACAAAUAUACAAUAAAAAAACACCCUUCGUCCCAAAACGUAAGACGUUUAUUGACACUAUCAUAGUAUCAGAAAACGUCUUACAUUUCAGGACGGAGGGGGUAGAGUAUACGUGCUCCCUCCACUUUUAUCCGGGCUUGGGACCGGCUAUCCGGGCUUGGGACCGGCAUUGGCAGUGUUACGCACCCUCACCCCACCCCAUACAAUCGCUUCACACAUAAAUAGGCGACAAAUCUUAAGAGACGAUGACGAAACUGUAGAUGGAGAUGCAACAACUAAUGAAGGACCUACCAAGAUAGAUCAUUUUGCACACCAUAACAAAUAAGAAGAAUAUAACGCUAUGAAUACACAUCACAUCCGUUGACAAAACAAUUAGCUGUUCCUUAUCAAAACAAAUCACGAAAAAUAGAAGCUACCGUGAAGCAAAACUCAACUAAUCAAAUAGAAAGGACUGUAUUACACGUGAACAGAAGCAUAGCACAUAAAUAGCAAAUUCUCAUGCACUUCAGCUAAUAACUACACCCCAGAAUCAUCAUUUUGAACUUGUCAAAUAUAGCAAUUAUCAUGGAUAAGAAAGUUGCGGUUAAUUAGCACAACUAUUUCACUAAAGCCAACAUAGGUCAGCGUACACAAAUUAACACCUUGCAUCAUGACUGUACACGAUCAGACUAGAAAUUCAGUUAUGUACCAAAUAUGAGACAAUGCUAAUUCACAGUACACUAUCUAACAUAAAAGAAGAAAGCCAUACUCACAUCAACAAUGGAUAAGAAGUUGCUAUGAACAUAAAAUUAAAAUGUGUAGCCAGGUUGUACAACAGACGCAGCGAAAAGAAACUUAGAUGCAAUAACGAUGUACGAUGCUGCUGAUGAACCGACAAUAUAGGCACUAAAGUAGUCAAAAUCAAAGACAGAAAUAUGGGCAGACCUGAAUAUAUAUGGGAUACAAACAACCAGAAUUCAAGAUAUCUUAAAGUUAAUUAUACUCGUGCUCAUUUGCAGGGCAAGAUGAGAGAUUCUCAUGAGCAACAGCAAGUAGAACUAGUAAAAUCAAUAUAUGGGUAUGACUAUUUGGGAAAAAGGAGGAAAAUCACUAUUUCUCCGAAAUAGUUGGCUUAACUACAAAAAAGAAAAAGGAAAACUAGACACGUGCAUAACUAGACACAUACCGCCACCUAAAAAGGAAAACUAGAUACAUACCCCAACUCUCUAGAGAACAUCACAAAAACUCACAUAAAGCAAUCAAGUUCUCCCAAGUAUUUAAGAAUCCGGGUAUUGAAGUCAUACCAAACAAAGCAAAACAAAACAGUAUGUAACAUUUCCAGUGAUCUUGAAUGAGAAGGCGAGAAGGCCUCGUUUGAAGAAAACGGAUAAACAAAAAUUAAACAUAUUCCAAUCAAGAAAGAUAACAAUUACUUCAGGAACCUAAGAUAGGAAUUCUUCUAAGGCGUAAGCACUCCCAAACUUAUCCUAUUAAUUGAACAAUCAAGUAUUCUUAUUCAAAAAAUCCUCAACUAACAGAAACAAACUCCCACGAUUGUAAGGGAAAAUUCAACCAGGCAUAAAAGAAAUUCUGACAGGUCAUUAUGCACACUAAACACAAAUAUGCGCCAUGAAGGCUUACCCUAAAAAAAAAGAGCGCUACGAUUCUCGUUAAAACAAAAUCAUACAAAUAGAAGUUACACCAUCAUUUAAGAGGCAAGAUCCAAUAGUCCUGCACAAUUUCCUAUGCACAUAAAUAGCAAAAAUGUGGAUGCUAGAGAUAUAAACAAAGUGCACUAAAGCUAACAAAUACACCCAAGUCCCAAACCACAGCCAUAUUCAUCAUUUGAACUUGAAAUUAUGGACAAAACAGCAUUGCAGUUACAUCAAAAGGCAGAACUAUUAUCAGGUACAUUACUGUCCAAUAAACCUAACAUGAAUGUUUUCUUCAACUAGUUGUUAUUUUCAACAAAUCAAAAUGCCAUUGAAGCUUUAGAAAGAGGCCGACUCAAGUAAGCCAGACACAAAGUCAACAUGCAAAAAUAACACCUCACAGAAUGACAGCGUACACAAUCACACCAGAAAUUCAGCCAUGCACAAACUUUAGGACAACACAGAGUAAGAAAAGUUAAUGCACAGUGCACCGUCAUAGAAAAAAAAUGCCGUAUUGAACACAACACUACAACAACAUAACAUUAAUAAGCACGAGUCAAAAUGCUUGACCUAUUUGUACAACGUAGAAAGAUAUAUAUAGAAGAAAACGAAAUGUACAAAAAUCGCAUUUCAAAUAUAGCAUGGUACUAAUUAACCUACCAGAGCUACAAAAAGAAGCAAUAAUGGUAAUCAACUCUUACUUAUUUGCAAAAAUAUAGGCAUUAAAGCUUAGAAGAAAGAACAUGCUAACUGAAAUGUGAACUCAAAGACUUGAUUACGAUAUGGACUAAAAAUGACCUCACAAAAGUAAAAGGAUAUCUCAAACUUAUUACACCUAAUGAAUAAGAUGACUCUGAUGAGCAACACAAAGUACAGCUCAACAGCAUAUAAUAACAAUAAAAGAACUAGUGGCUUUAUAACCCUAAACUCCCUUCAAGUCACUAACCCUAAACUGUUACUUGAAUUCAUGGCAUAAGUUACAUUCAGAUUUUAUCUAAAUUCAUGACAAAUGUGUAAGUAGAUACAUGAAGUUUAAGCAAACAAGUAUUGAACAAAGAAUUUGAAAGCUGCAGAGUAGGACAUAACAGUGCCAGAAAGGUCAAAAUGCUUUCUACCACCAAUUUAUUAUCCAAAAAGAAAAACCAAAGAAGACAUGAAACAAAUUAGACUGCGUGCAAACCUGCUAUUUGAAUUCACAACAAACAUGUAACUAGAUACAUUAUGAUGUUUAACAACAAACAAGUAUGGAACAAGGAACUCCAACGCUGUGGCGUAACAAAUAACAGUGACAAAAGGGUCAAAAUGCCUACUGCUACCAAUUUUUAAUCAAAAACUAAAACAAAUCAGAUGAAAUAAAAAAUUAGACUCUACAAACACUUGUUAGACCAAGGUUAUAAAACAGGAAGCCAAUAUAAUUCAGAUUUAUCUGUUAAAUUACUUUGAUAUAUUUUUACAAGAAAUACUCACAAUUAUAUGCUGGAAACAAAAAAUCAAAUAAAAGCUACUGAGCCAAGUUAUUAUUAAUUAAAGUACAAUUCAAGGAAGGUGGUUAAGAAAUUUAUUAUAUAUAAACCUAGAGUCACACAAAGAUAAAAAUAACGGAAGUAGCAAACCAGACAAUGAAACAGUUGGAAGAAAAAACAUAAAGGAAAUGAAGUGACCCAUCAAGGAAAAGAAAAACAACAAGCAAAUUAAAAAAGUGAGGUAAACAUACUAUAUUAAGUCACAGUAUAAACAUAUUUAUAUGGAAGUCAAACUAUCUUAAGGAUUAAUUAUAGAACUUGCUCUUGAAUUUAGUUAAAGAAUGCAAACUACAUGCUUAAGAAAAUAAUAGUAUAGAUUGAAACAAUACAAACAUAACUAUAUUAUAUUAUCAUUCAAAAUGCAGCCGGAAAUGAGAACACACCAUCUGAAAAAAACGCUGUAUUGAACACAACAGUACAACAAGGUAACAUUAAUAAGCACGAGUCAAAAUGCUUGGCCUAUUUGUACAAAAAUACAAAAAUGAAAUGUACGAAAUUCGCAUUUCAGAUAUAGCAUUGUACUAAUUAACCCUACCAGAGCUACAAAAAGAAGCAAUGAUGGUAAUCAACUUUUACUUAAAUAUAGGCAUUAAAGCUUAGAAGAAAGAACAUGAAACUGAAAUGAGAAGUCAAAGAUUUGACUACGAUAUGGACUAAAAAUGACCGCACAAAAGUAAAAGGAUAUUUCAAACUUAUUACACCUAACCCUAAACUCCCUUCAAGUCAGUAACCCUAAACUGUUAUUUGAAUUCAUGGCAUGACUUACAUUCAAAUUUUAUCUGAAUUCAUGACGAAUGUGUAACUAGAUACAUGACGUUUAAGCAAACAAGUAUGAAACAAGGAAUUUGAAAGCUGCAGAGUAGGACAUAACAGAGCCAAAAAGGUCAAAAUGCUUUCUACCACCAAUUUAUUAUCCAAAAAGGAAAAACAUGUAACUAGAUACAUUAUGAUGAUACACAUGAAAUAAGUUAGACUGCAUGCAAACCUGCUAUUUGUAAUCACGACAAACAUGUAACUAGAUACAUUAUUAUGAUCAACAACAAACAAGUAUGGAACAAGGAACUCCAACGCUGUGGCGUAACAAAUAACAGUGACAAAAGGGUCAAAAUGCCUUCCGCUACCAAUAUUUAAUCAAAAACUAAAGCAAAUCAGAUGAAAUAAAUAAUUAGACUCUACAUACACUUGUUUGAAUUAUAUCCCAGGUUAUAAAACAGGAAGCCAAUAUGAGAUUAUUCACAUUCAUCUACUAAAUUACUUUGAUACAUUUUUAGAAGAAAUACUCACAAUUAUAUGCUGGAAACAAAAAAUCAAAUAAAAGCUACUGAACCAAGUUGUUAUUAAUUAAAGAACAAAUUGAGGGAGGUGGUUAAGAAACUUAUUAUAUAUAAACCUAGAGUCACACAAGAUAAAACUAACAGAAGUAGCAAACCAGACAGUGAAACGGUUGGAAGAAAAAACAUCUAGGAAAUGAAGUGACCCAUCAAGGAAAAGAAAAAUAACAUGCAAAUUAAAAAAUGAGGUAAAUAUACUAUAUUAAGUCACAGUACAAAUAUAUUUAUACGUUAGUCAAAAUAUCUUAAGGAUUAAUUAUAGAACUUGCUCUUAAAUUUAGUUAAAUGAAUGUCUAAAGAACAUAAUAGUAUAGAUAGUAUAGAAAGAAACAAUACAAACAUAACUAUAUUAUAUUAUCAUUCAAAAUGCAGCCGGAAAUGAGAACACACUAUCUGAAAACAACCUCGUUACGAAUUAAUUUCAGCAUUCACACUUUUCAGUAUACAGAUGAUAGGUAGAACUAGAAAAAAAAUCACUGAAAAGCACAGAACAACAUAGCGAACUACACUAAACAAACUGUACAUCAAGGUACAUAUGUCUAUGUGAACUUUACAUCAAUGAUGAAGCGCGCAAACAUAAGAUAAAGAGUAGGACAAAGUAGCUUUCUCAACGCGAGGGCAAUGAGUAAGGUAUGAGUUCAUAAAGGAUUAUAGACACAUCGCAUAAAGACUAAUACUAUAUCUUAAAGCGGUGCAACAUGGAUUGGGAACAAAGCUAAAACUCAGACCAAAACAGGACAACAAGUAGAGGCAUACCACGACUGACCAAACAUUUAUUGUUAACAAAGCUUGUAAUAAAAUUUUCAAGCAGAAAAAAGAAGGCAAGAAAACUCGAGAGCGAAAUUUUUAGACAUACAUGUAGCACAAGGAUAGCGUGAAAUUUACAAAUAGGAGAACAUAGGAGAACAAGAUUAUAGUAAACUAAGAACACAUCUGAAGCUUACCGACUUAUAAAUGACCACCAAGGUUGAGAAUUAAAACUAAGCUUAUGUAGAAGUUCACACCCUACAAUGUAUUUCAAGGUGAGACCUGUACUAACACCAACUUGGCUCAUAACAUCACUUUAACCUUGACAUAAACCAUAAAGAAAUUCAUGUGAACAGUGGUCAGAAGCAGCACUCUUGCAUAAAUAAUUUCAUCAGAUAGAAUCAUGGUUCUAUACCAAGCAAAAAGAAAUGAUUGUAGGAAUUGGAACACUGAAACAACGCAUACAUUAUUGAGAUUAUUCGAGAAGAUGGGUCAAAACUAGACAAGCACAACAGAAAUUUAAGAGUGGUUAGAGGAUAUGACUCAAUUAGUUAAUGAAUGAAUUGAUGAGACAUAGUAGACAAACAGAAGCCCGUAUCCAAGCACACAAGAAUAACAUCAGGUCAUAUACUUAUGUAAAAACUACAUGCCAUUUUCACCUUUCUAAUUGUGACCUUCUCCAUCAAAGAGGGAAAAAUGACAGCACAAUGGAUCAGUGACAAAUAAAAUUUCAAGUAAGCUGAAAACAGAUUAAAAUGUUCUAAUUUAGAAACCAAGGCGUCUAAAAAUUAUAGUACAUGUCAUGCUUAUCAUCUCAACCAAAUAAGUGGGGAAAGCAGAACCAAAGCAAAAGCAGUAUGUGUCAUGUUUAUAAUCUCAACCAAUUAAGGGGGGAAAGUUAANNNNNNNNNNNNNNNNNNNNNNNNNNNNNNNNNNNNNNNNNNNNNNNNNNNNNNNNNNNNNNNNNNNNNNNNNNNNNNNNNNNNNNNNNNNNNNNNNNNNNNNNNNNNNNNNNNNNNNNNNNNNNNNNNNNNNNNNNNNNNNNNNNNNNNNNNNNNNNNNNNNNNNNNNNNNNNNNNNNNNNNNNNNNNNNNNNNNNNNNNNNNNNNNNNNNNNNNNNNNNNNNNNNNNNNNNNNNNNNNNNNNNNNNUAAUUCACACUAACCAGGUAGGGAAAAUCCAAGAGUAAAAGCAGACUGUAAAUAAUGCAAACAUAUAAGACCAACACCUUCAAAUAUACUCAACACCGAACUACAAAAAAAAGCGAUAGUGCCACUCAUGAAUGAUGCGGAAUGAAGAUUAAAAACAAGCAACUAAUUUGAUUAUUAAAAGGAAUCUUGUGCAUGACUAAAGAGAGCAACCAAAAUGAAUACAAGCACUGAACAAGUUCAAAAUGUUAAUAGUGAUCUAUCUUAGAUUAGGAGAACUAUAGAAGUGGGAUGCUCUGAACAAUCUACGCUGAACUUGCACAUACGAACACAUAUAUAUUAUAUUAAUAUAGGCAAAAAAACAUCAAGCUAUGAAAUUCAGUUGCUAUUUUGUUGCAGCUUUUAUACACCCAACCAAACAACGACAGGCUAAAUGUAUGUCAUCCAUAUAUCAUUCAAUAAUUACACCAAUAACAUCAUACAAGAUGCAUAAUUGACAAUUAUGUACAACAUAAAACAUAACUUCCAUUAACAGAACAUGACUACAAAUUACAAUAAUAAUACUAAUUACCAAGCUAAGACUAAUCCAACACUGGCCGGAGCAUGUAAACCGGCAGAAGCCCAACAGAAUAUCCAUGCAGGAAAUCAACGGCACAAACUACAUAUCAGAAGGAUUGGUAGACCCCAACACAGUAAUCAGCAUCUGAAUAGACCUUGACGUGCCACCCGAGAAAAACACAGCAGGCAGUAAACUAGUUAAGCAGCCUUCUUCACAGUACUUGAACCUUCAAACAGAUUACUUUGAAAGCAAACCUCCAUGUUCUUUCAGGUCUUUUUAAGGUACUUCCCAAGAAAGUUCCAUCUAAAACGCGAACAAAACAAGCACCUCCGAUAUUCUUAGGGAUCUUGAAAAUAAAACAAACCAAAAGGUGACACCUAAAUAUAGCCACUGCAGGAUUACCUCCACCAUGAGCAUGUCCACAAAGUUGAAGAAAUAAAAAUCCCAGGUCUACCUUUAUAACACGGUACACAACAUAGCAAAAUCCCUUUCAUAUGGUCUGACAUGUAUAGGCUGCUAGGCGAAAGCAGAUAUAUCCGGAUAGGCCUAGCAAACCUUUUUGCAACUUCCUCUUCUAUCUCUUAUUGACUCUGACUUAAGUCAUGCAGGAACGGGAACAAAAGCAAGAAACCGCAGAAUUUUGACCGUCUCCCCAAACCGCUGUUUUUCAGCACGAAAAGAGAAAGCACUUUGCACGCAGAACCUUAUUGAAUCACCUUGUGCUCUGUGUCCCUUUAGGCCCCGUUUGAUAGCUCAACUUUUUCUAAGUAUUAUGAAAAUACUACAGUUUUUUAAAAUACCAUGGUUUUAAUUAUCGUGAGCUGUUUGGCAACAAUAAAAAACUGUAGUAUUGAAACUGUAGUAUUGUCAAAAC